This 314-nucleotide long non-coding RNA is filed under the name Solanum tuberosum (potato). Its description in RNAcentral is "long non-coding RNA (STUB_LNC003888)". Lineage: Eukaryota; Viridiplantae; Streptophyta; Magnoliopsida; Solanales; Solanaceae. The record is from RNAcentral.
AAUUAUAAUAACAUUAAUUAAACUUAUUCGUGUUGCAUCUAUUUUAUACUCUAUCUCAUCAUCACCAAUUUUUUAAUUUACAGAUAAUCUUUGGGGAUUCAGUGAACCAAUAGCUGUCAAGGAAAAGGUCAGCUUUCAUCAAUUUUUUUUAUACUCUCUUCGUCUCUAUUUACUUGUCAAAUAUUUUCUAAUUUGAUUUCCCUUUUUACUUGUCAUUUUCGACAAAUUAAGGAACGACAAUUUUUUUUAUUUUAUUAUAUCCUCAAUUUAUUAACAUUGAGUUAGAGUGUGUUUUGUAUUGCCGUUGGGAGGCC